AGGGGAGUGUAGUGACAGGGGUAGCCUAGUUUUUGUGGAUAAGUAUGUGCAGAAAAUGUAUGGAAGCAAAAAUCGCUAUGACUGGCCCAGAAAAGUAACCGAAGACGGCUAUGUGUCCAAUGUGGAAGUUGAUAUUGGAGCCUUCAAGACCACAGGUAGCGGAACUCCAUGGGCUCGCUGACUUCCUGGUCGGUGGGGCGGCGCAGCUGCAUGCGCACGGAGACGGGCGAAGUGAUGG
This is a long non-coding RNA of Engraulis encrasicolus (European anchovy), 238 nucleotides long. RefSeq lists it as uncharacterized. The record is from RefSeq and is a predicted model, not a curated record. Lineage: Eukaryota; Metazoa; Chordata; Actinopteri; Clupeiformes; Engraulidae. The transcript is spliced from 3 exons.